CACCCCACCCACCCCUCCCCGCAUUGUGGCAUCAGUGCUGCUGCUUCCAGGGAGCCUUCCUGGCCAUCCAAGCCUCCUCUCCAGGUUCCUGCCCUGCUGUAGUCCCCAGGCCAGUGCUUGGCAGGUGCUCAGGGAAUGUAUCCACCAACCAAGGUUUGGGGUGGCUGUCUCUGCCUGACCACUUUCCCCAGGCCCCUGGCGGGUACCUGAGCUGUGCUCUCAGGGCCUCAGGAACCUCCUUCCAUAUUCAGGGCCUGUGCCUGGGGAGGCUUCAGGGUGUAGCAGCUGUGCCCAUCCCAGGCUGACCCACCCAGCUUGCCUGGUAGCCCAGCCUCUGGGCUAGUGUGCCGUGGGGCAGGGGAUGUGCUGUAGCCUGGUGCAGAGUCCCCAACCCCAGAAGGGGGCCAUGGAAGCUGACACCCCAAGUGGCCGCCCCCCUGCUCUGUCUUGCUUCGGACACUGUGGCCGGGUCCAGGAUCCUGGCAUCCUGGGAGGUCUCUGGCUUUGUGGGCAGCCUGCCUGGCCCGCACAGUCUGCCUGUCCUGAGGGUGAGACACAGGUCAAGCCCACAGACCCCCUUGCUCCCCUGCUGGGGCCUCCAGGCUCACAGACCACCCCACCCUACCCUGUCCUUGCCCAAGCAAAUGAGAGGCAGGGGCUUCCCGGGCUGCUGCUGUCCCGCCCUCUGUGGGGCAGGAGGAGGUGCCCACAGAGGCUGGGUGGUGAUAGCCAGGAGAUGGGCUGGCAUCUGCAUUACCCAAGCUCUGCUGCCCAUGGUGGCCUUUCUGGGGGUGGGUGCUGGUCCCUGCCCCCUGCCCCACCCCUGAUGUCUGCUCCAGAGACAAAGGUGGGGAGGGUGCUGAAGAGGAAGUGUUUGCCCAGGGAGAGGCUGCGGCUCCUCCUGAAACAUCAGCCCUGUGGGUCCUGUUUGCAGAAUCUCCGGCCUGUGAAACUGUGAGGGGAUUCGGCCAAGACGUCCUCUUCCCUCUGCCUCCCACCCAGGCCACUCUUCACCUCCACCAUGAGCCUGGACAUCCAGAGCCUGGACAUCCAGUGUGAGGAGCUGAGCGACGCUAGAUGGGCCGAGCUCCUCCCUCUGCUCCAGCAGUGCCAAGUGGUCAGGUACGCUUGCUCUCGGGGUGGCCUUGGGGUGCUGGUGGGGCAGGCUGGCGGGUGGCGGCUCCCUCUGAAGGGUGCAUUGCUCUGGAACGCCUUGUUUGUGGACAUGAAGUAUGAAUUCUGUGCAGCUACCACGUGCAUGAGAUGUGAUUCUUGUGUUUCUUUUUGACAAUUUAGGAAUGUAAAACCCAUUCCAGGCUCAUGCAGCAUGGGCUGAGGUGGGCGGGCCGAGGUGGGCGGCCACUGGCCAGUGGGUCUCUGGCUCCGGUGUCUCAGCUCCUCUCCCUCCCUUGGAGACACGAGGGCAGGACACAGCUUGGGUCCCCUCCGUGAGCCUCCAUGGGGCGCUGCUUGUCCCUGCCAAGCUGGGGGCUGGGAGUCCUCGGCCCUCGAGGUCCUCACAAACCCAGCAGCUUCACAAGCAGGACACGAGUGCCUGGGUGGGCCGCAUCUUUUCUCUUUUUACCUGGUGAUUUCAAGUAGUGUCAGGUUUGCGGAGGAGUUACGAGGACCGGACGGGGCUCCCUGGUGAGGUGGUCCUGUGUACCUGCGGACGCUAGCUCUGGCCCAGCACCUCCAGGCAGGGUCUGCUUUUCCGCCCUGCCCUUUUCGUCUUCCUCACUGGUCCAGGAUUGCGUGGCCCUCAGCCCUCUGUCUCCUUAGCCCUCUCCCGUCUGUGACUGUCCCCUCGUCUCUCUGGGUUCUUGGUGGUCUGAGGGUCUGGCCAGGCUCCUGCAGGACGUCCUCUGUUGGGGCUUGUCUGGUGGUUUCUUGUGGUUGAAGUCCUACAGUUUUGGCAGGAAUGCAGGGAGAUGCCGUGGGGCCUGCCAGGAGCGUCCUGUCACAGGCGCCGUCUGCCACCCUCUCCACUGUGACGCCACUGCCUUUCCUCCUGUGACUGAUCAGUGCCUUCGAGAGAUACUUUAAAUUCUUUUUAUUUUUAGAGACAGGGCAUUGCUCUGUCACCCAGGCUGGAGUGGCUCCCUCAUGGCUUAUGCGGCCUCAACCUCCUGGGCUCAAGUGAUCCUCCUGCCUCAGCCUCCCGAGUAGCUGGGAUUAUGGGCAUGCGCCACCACGCCCGGCUACUUUUGUAUUUUUAGUAAAGACGGGGUUUCUCCAUGUUGGUCAGGUUGGUCUUGAACUCCCGACCUCAGGUGAUCUGCCUGCCUCGGCCUCCCAAAGUGCUGGGAUUACAGGCGUGAGCCACCGCGCCUGGCC
Molecule: long non-coding RNA, 2337 nt
Filed under: Homo sapiens (human)
Lineage: Eukaryota; Metazoa; Chordata; Mammalia; Primates; Hominidae
Description: non-protein coding lnc-HRAS-4:3
Source: RNAcentral